Molecule: transfer RNA, 72 nt
Filed under: [Leptolyngbya] sp. PCC 7376
Lineage: Bacteria; Bacillati; Cyanobacteriota; Cyanophyceae; Chroococcales; Geminocystaceae
Also listed under: 5 other names
Description: tRNA-Asn (GTT) (tRNA-Asn-GTT-1-1)
Rfam family: tRNA
About the family: Transfer RNA (tRNA) molecules are approximately 80 nucleotides in length. Their secondary structure includes four short double-helical elements and three loops (D, anti-codon, and T loops). Further hydrogen bonds mediate the characteristic L-shaped molecular structure. tRNAs have two regions of fundamental functional importance: the anti-codon, which is responsible for specific mRNA codon recognition, and the 3' end, to which the tRNAs corresponding amino acid is attached (by aminoacyl-tRNA synthetases). tRNAs cope with the degeneracy of the genetic code in two manners: having more than one tRNA (with a specific anti-codon) for a particular amino acid; and 'wobble' base-pairing, i.e. permitting non-standard base-pairing at the 3rd anti-codon position.
Source: RNAcentral
UCCUCAGUAGCUCAGUGGUAGAGCGGUCGACUGUUAAUCGAUUGGUCGCAAGUUCGAAUCUUGCCUGGGGAG